RNAcentral lists this non-coding RNA (44 nucleotides) under Trichobilharzia regenti. The record is from RNAcentral. Lineage: Eukaryota; Metazoa; Platyhelminthes; Trematoda; Strigeidida; Schistosomatidae.
ACCAGAUGACGAGUCCCAAACAGGACGAAAUGUGCAUCCUGGAU